This 76-nucleotide transfer RNA is filed under the name Xanthomonas theicola. RNAcentral's name for it is "tRNA-Lys". The record is from RNAcentral. Lineage: Bacteria; Pseudomonadati; Pseudomonadota; Gammaproteobacteria; Lysobacterales; Lysobacteraceae.
AAGCCUUGGCUGGAAAGCUGACGGGACGAGACUUUUAAUCUUUUGGUCGAUGGUUCGAAUCCAUCACGGCCCACCA